GAUCUGUGGGUGUCACUGUUGGUGUAGUCGUGGGUGGUCUUCUUCUCCUUGUCAUCGUUGUUAUUUGGGUGUUUGUGUGGAAGAAGACGGGGACAUCCAGCAUCUAGCCUGUGUCAGGACACCCCCGGUGACCAUGAUCUCUGAGGAAGAAUCAUCAUCCAACAACUUGUGCAGAUUUGUGCAGUACUGUAUUUUAAAUAUCCUGCCUUCAGCCCAAUGACUGCUGAGAUAGGCUCCAGUUCCCCCUGUGACUCAGAAGGAUAUGUGGCUUAGAAAAUGUGUGUGUGUGUUGUAUUUGAUUCAGAUGGUGCCUGUACUUGCCUUAAAGUCAAGUCUGAUUUUCUUUUCAAUAGAAAUGGCCCUACAUUGCACCCUCAUGUAAACGCACUAGGGCUCAGACAUCACUGUUGGUGCCAAUUCAGAAAGGAAAGAACUCUAAAUGUCAAGUCAAGUCAAGAGGUUUUUAUUGUCAUUCCAUCUACG
Colossoma macropomum (tambaqui) is the source of this 483-nucleotide long non-coding RNA. RefSeq lists it as uncharacterized. Lineage: Eukaryota; Metazoa; Chordata; Actinopteri; Characiformes; Serrasalmidae. The record is from RefSeq and is a predicted model, not a curated record. The transcript has 3 exons.